Gossypium arboreum is the source of this 1607-nucleotide RNA transcript. RefSeq lists it as uncharacterized. NCBI's taxonomy places the organism in Eukaryota, Viridiplantae, Streptophyta, Magnoliopsida, Malvales, Malvaceae. The transcript has 4 exons. The record is from RefSeq and is a predicted model, not a curated record.
AAAAAAAACCGCCUUGAAUAGCCGACAGCAUUGAUAAGCUUACAUAAGAAACAUAGAACGGUGUAGCUGGGGUUUCGAAGGUUCCCAAAUCGAUCCAGAUGGAAAGAAAAGUUAGCGAAGAAGCGAUGGAGAGCAUCACGGAGAGGCUGUCGGCUCUCGAUAAUCUCUAUUUCCCACGCGCCCUUCAAUCUUCGGCCUCCGAUCCCUCCAAUCGCAAAUCCAUCCUCCACGACCUCCUUUCCCGCGACGUCCCUGUCUUCUUAGAAAGAUACGGGUCUCAGCUUACUUGUGAUGAGCUCCAUGAAUUUGAUGCACUUAACGAUGAUUAUGAGGUUAAUUGGCACUUAAAGCAUCUUAGAAGCAAGAUGAGCCCGACUUUAGAAGAAUUGAAAUUGAGGUCCGUGACUGUCAAGAAUCGGAGGCGGGCUUACUUGAAUAAAUUGGUGUGUGAUGGGCAUUACUUUUCGGAGGAUGCGAUGAGGGAAAGGGAGCCUUAUUUGCAUCAUGAAUAUUUAGGGAGGUUUCAGGAUUUAAGUGGGAGGAGCAUGGCCAAGCGUGGGGAACGCUGGUCUGAGACUUUGAUGAGGAGGUGUGAGGAAGCUAGGUUGGUUGCUAAGAUUAGGGAGCAGCAGCAGAGGCUUGGUGUCGCUCAAAAAGAUUGGGUUGGUAAUGAGAUCCAUCCUCAACAACAACAAGAAGAGGAGGAGGAGGAGGAGGAGGAGGAGGAGGAAGAGGAGGAGGAAGAUGAGGAUGAAAUGAAAAUGGAAAAUGGAGGCAACCAUGGAAAGGAUAUGCUUUUGGACCAUCUUGGAGAUGACAUUGUUGCUGCUUCUGCAACUAUGGAGCAACACGAAGAAGCACCUUCUGCAGAAGAAAUGCAAGAAAGGAUGGAUCAAUUCACCUACAUCAUGCAGCAGAAGUUUCUCUCUGGUGAAGAUUAUGAGUAUUUAGAUUACUCUAAAAUAGAUGACGAUGAGACCUUGGAUGAUCACUGGCUUAGGGAAGCUAACCAUGAUGCAGAGGAGAAGUAUUUUGCUGAAGAUUAAUAACGGAAAAUUACAUCCAUUCAUCUCCCAACAUUUGCAGAUAUCUCUUCGUUAUAGCAGUGGACCGGUAUUUGGAAACAUAGGCUGAAAACUUAAGCUGGUGAGGUGUCCCAUAUGAUCCAACACAAUAUAUAAUAGUACUAGAUACAGUUGAUGUCGGUACGAAUGGAAUUGAAUUAAAUUGGAGUUAAGACAUAUAUGAAACCAGGUGCAGAAUGAAGAAUCUCAAGAAUCAAUACACAGUAUGUAGCUGGCUUGCUAGGGUUGGCCUACUUGCCCAAUUAGCUGGAUUGGCACAGCUGGUCUCCAAUAUUUACUCUUCUUCACUUCAGAUUCUUUUGUUCUUCCUUUGCCUCUUUUGGACCAUUGAUGGUUACUUUCACACAUCAAGAUGAAAAUAGUCAAAAAAAAAAAAAAAGAAAUGCAAAAUCUUUUCAAUGUUAUUUUUUAUAUAUAUUACAAAUUGGGAAAGGGUGAGAGAUGACACUACUUAAAUUUGAACUUUGAUAUUUGAGUGUAGUUUUAAGGAAGAGUUCAACUAUUGUUUCUCGUUGUGGGCCA